AUCUCGGUGAUGUAGUGGUAGCACGCGUCCCUGAUAUGGACAAAACGCUGGUUCGACUCCCGUCUGAGGUC
Non-coding RNA from Parelaphostrongylus tenuis, 71 nucleotides. NCBI's taxonomy places the organism in Eukaryota, Metazoa, Nematoda, Chromadorea, Rhabditida, Metastrongylidae. The record is from the annotation of a GenBank genome assembly.